Delphinapterus leucas (beluga whale) is the source of this 294-nucleotide non-coding RNA. NCBI's taxonomy places the organism in Eukaryota, Metazoa, Chordata, Mammalia, Artiodactyla, Monodontidae. The record is from RefSeq and is a predicted model, not a curated record.
UCCCUAAGCUUGUUAAUUCGUGCUGAAUUAGGCCAACCUGGCUCACUUAUCGGAGACGACCAAAUUUAUAAUGUACUAGUAACAGCCCACGCCUUCGUGAUAAUCUUCUUUAUAGUAAUGCCCAUCAUAAUUGGAGGGUUUGGAAACUGACUUGUCCCUUUAAUAAUCGGAGCCCCCGACAUGGCUUUCCCUCGUCUAAAUAACAUAAGCUUUUGACUGCUUCCUCCUUCUUUCCUACUACUAAUAGCAUCCUCAAUAGUUGAAGCCGGCGCAGGCACAGGCUGAACUGUGUAC